Long non-coding RNA from Cucurbita pepo subsp. pepo (vegetable marrow), 1751 nucleotides. RefSeq lists it as uncharacterized. The record is from RefSeq and is a predicted model, not a curated record. NCBI's taxonomy places the organism in Eukaryota, Viridiplantae, Streptophyta, Magnoliopsida, Cucurbitales, Cucurbitaceae.
CCCUAUGUAAGGAUGUAGAAACCUCUCCUUAGCAGGCGCGUUUUAAAAACCUCGAGGGGAAGUCAGAAAGGAAAAGCUUCUGCUAGCGUUGAGCUUAGGACGUUACAGAUAGACCGAUAGAAGGGAUAAAGAUAGACAUAGAAAUUGGAUUCAUACAGUUCUAUACACGGCUGACUCAAGUGGAUUACGGAACUUUUUCCAUUACAUGUUUUAGAACCUGGAUUACUGAUUUAUGUUUCUAGUUAAUCAUCUCAAGACACUCACUGCUAAUUGCGAUAUUAUAAUUUGAAUUUAAUGCCAUUUUUGAUAAGCCUCUAGCGAUUAGAUCCUUUACAGAAGGCUUUUUCUUCUCUUGGAAGCUUUCAUUGUAAGUUCUUUGUUUUCUUAGUGUAUAGAGUGACUGCAUUGUUGGAACUUUGACAGAAACCCGUUUCUUCUCUUUUUACUUGCCCUUUGUUAUCAUUGCCUGAUUCCUACCUUAGUGUCUUCAUAUUUUAUGCAUUUUUUAUGAUCAUCCUCUGAAACAUAUUUUUCGUUCUCGGUAAACUUAAUGUCGAAACAAUUCUUUAUUGACAAUACCCCUGAGAUUACAUACCAAAAGCAUUUAGAAUCAUGUCUAUAUGGACACAGAGAAAGAAAAAAUAGUGCCAGCACAAUGACAACAACAUAUACAUACAAACCAUCAAAAUCCAAUCAUACUGAUCGAUGAGAAAGCAGGAAGAUCUGGUAUCUAAUGCCAGAGAAGUGCAAGGAGGCUGAUGAAAAUCGAUAGCAGAACCCCACCACCGGAAAAUGUCACCUGAAAUCCAGUCCCAGCAUCCAUGGCAGGCAACGGUGCAAGUCCUCCACUGUCUUGAGCUCUUGCCACAGCAAGCAGAAGCACCAUGGUCGCCAUGAACCACCUCAUCGCCGCUUGGAUGCUGAAUCCAGCCAUUGUUAGACGCACAGAAAACUUGAAAAGAACGAGAGGGGAGGAAGAAUCAAAUUCAAGAUGGCGUACAGCUCCUUUUGAAGAUGACAUAUCAGCUUACUUCGCUGCUCACAGGGCCAUGUAAUGCCUCUCCCGCAGCUAACUUGAGUAACUUUGUGGUACAAGAACAUCACUACUUAAUAGCUCGUUCGCCAAGUCGGAACUCCCACUUUCUUGUCUAUGACGGCUCUCUUCGAUGCUAGCAACCGCGUUUGACCCUUUUCCGUGCUUCUUUCAAUUUCCUUACAUUCUAGCUUCAAAAGAGACUUGACCUUUACUUAAAGAGAGGUUGCGGUACCACACUCUUCCGUGCUCGUAGGUCGACUUCCCCCACUAAUCAAAGAGCUAAUUUUGAAGAGAUUCUUCAUUGAUCCCGCAUACGGCUCAAGUGGCGAACGCCCUUUCCUUCUAUUACUUUCAAAGAUAUCAUUGAAUGUGAAUAGAAUCUCUGUCUGCCCUCUUAUUUGGUUUGCAGCUGCAAGUUCAACCGUAUCUCAAUCCUAGAACCUUGCAUGAGCCAACCCCAACUUUGCCAAAAUACACUUCAGUAGUUUCCCAUGACAAAUAGUGGUUGGAAAUAGAUUUGGAAGGGUAUUAUAUAGUACUAAGCUUUCUUUAAGUUUAGCUUAGGUUUGGUUCGAGUAUCUUCGGUAGCAUAUAGUUAUAAAAUUUUGACCUUAAUGGCUACCCGCUGAGUUUUAUUAAAUGUCAUAUUUAGUUCCAUUCUUACAUCGAUCGAACAUUUGAAGAUAUUGAUUUAAUUUAUAAGGUCGUUACUAUG